RNAcentral lists this ribosomal RNA (253 nucleotides) under uncultured bacterium. RNAcentral's name for it is "partial 16S ribosomal RNA". It matches the Rfam family "Bacterial small subunit ribosomal RNA", at positions 524 to 776 of the family's 1533-position model. The record is from RNAcentral.
UACGUAGGUGGCAAGCGUUGUUCGGAAUUAUUGGGCGUAAAGGGCGCGUAGGCGGUUUGUUAAGUCAGCUGUGAAAGCCCGGGGCUCAACCCCGGAGGGUCAGCUGAUACUGGCAGACUAGAGUACAGAAGAGGUAACUGGAAUUCCCGGUGUAGCGGUGAAAUGCGCAGAUAUCAGGAGGAACACCGGUGGCGAAGGCGGGUCUCUGGGCCGAUACUGACGCUGAGGAGCGAAAGCGUGGGGAGCGAACAGG